Molecule: ribosomal RNA, 221 nt
Filed under: uncultured bacterium
Lineage: Bacteria
Description: partial 16S ribosomal RNA
Rfam family: Bacterial small subunit ribosomal RNA
Source: RNAcentral
CAACGUGACCAAUCUGCCCUCGAGACGGGGAUAACGUUGGGAAACCAGCGCUAAUACCCGAUGACCCUGCGGUGCGGCAUCACACUGCAGGCAAAUGGAUUCCGCUCGAGGAGGAGGUCGCGGCCUAUCAGCUUGUUGGCGGGGUAAAGGCCCACCAAGGCAACGACGGGUAGCUGGUCUGAGAGGAUGGCCAGCCACAUUGGGACUGAGAUACGGCCCAG